UAUUACAUCAUCAACAUCAAAUUAAUUUUAUUUAUUUAUUUUUUAAAAAAUAUAAUAAAAAUAUAUUUUUAUAGCAACGAUGGGAUAAAUAAAUAAAUUAUUCGAUUGAUUGAGGAACGUCAUAUUAACAGUAUAACCGGUGCAUUCUAGCAUUGUUUCCGAUGAAGGAAAAAUUCUAGAAUACAACGAGUAAAUUGGUGACGUACUGACGUGGCGUAACAAAUCAAUCAAAUAUCUCCUUUUAGAAAUAUAUGUCUCAUCUAAAAAAAUAUUUUUAUUGUACUUUUAUUUUUAAAAAAAAGAAUGUGAUUGGCUUGUUAUUGAUGAUGUGGUGCAAGUAUGAUAGUGUAGAAUUCCUUCCGAUGAAGAGCCUGUGCGGGAAAAAAAAAAUCUAGAAUGCACCAUAUGUAUUGGUGACGUGGCGUUUUCAAUCAAUAGAGUUCUCCCGCUUGGAUUGAUACGUCCCAUCAUAAUUAAUAAAAAAAUUAUUUUUAUUGUACUUUUUUUUAAAUAGAGAGAUAUGAUUGAUUUAUUACUGAUGGCGUGGUGUAAGUGUGAUCCAAUAGACUUCCUCCCGUGCGGCAUGUGUGCGUUAAUUCCAUGUCCUGCUGCUAUCUCUUAUGUAUUACUAUUAUAUAAUAAUAAAGGAAAAAACUUCAAAUACCCUCCCUAUAGUUUCGCACUUUUUUAUUUCAGUACCCUAUUGUUUAAAGUGUUUCAAUUUAGUAAUUUUUCUAUUUUUAUAAUCCUCUUUACUAAUCUUUUUAGUAAGUCAGUGACAAAGUUAAAACUAAAAUAUAUUAAAGUGAAUAUUCGAUACGCGUAGAUGGAGUAUUUAAAGUUUUUUAUAUAUAAUUUAACAAAAUGUAAACGUAGGAGCUGACGGAAAAAAAAAAAAAAAAAUCACUAGCUACUAAAUUAUUAAUAAUAUAUUUUAAAUCAGAGGGCACUAAACUAAGAAAGUUAGAAACAAUAUAAAUGAUAUUUGAAAUUUACCCUAAUAAAAAAGAGUAUUAUAAUAU
This 1022-nucleotide long non-coding RNA is filed under the name Ananas comosus (pineapple). RNAcentral's name for it is "long non-coding RNA (ACOM_LNC009881)". Lineage: Eukaryota; Viridiplantae; Streptophyta; Magnoliopsida; Poales; Bromeliaceae. The record is from RNAcentral.